AAAGAGACAGCGAAUGAAGAUGUGUUAUGCACCUGUGCCCUCACCCCAAGAUGGAGUCAACUCCAAGAACCAGAGCUUGCUGACCGUGUCAUGCUGUGACCUCAAGCAGCCGAUGUUCAUGGGGUUCACCAGGAGCUGAAAGAGACCUGAGGGCCCGGGUGAAGCUGAAGGUUUACAGCUCGGCCCAGCUGCGUCCAGCCGCUGCCCACCCAACCUUCUGCUUCCCCACUCACCUAUGGCCAGGAGCCCCCCAGUGCCAGCCCCCAGCAGGAAGGCAGCGACAGGGAACUGGCCUGGCUGGCGCCACAGGAACCGGCAGCAGGGCUCCGGCAGCCCCCAGCUCAGCAGCGCCUGCAGAGCUGAAAGGGGAUGGUUGAGCUCUCAGCCCGCCCUCUGCCUAGGGUGGGCUCACCAGGCUUAGGGAC
Molecule: long non-coding RNA, 425 nt
Filed under: Heterocephalus glaber (naked mole-rat)
Lineage: Eukaryota; Metazoa; Chordata; Mammalia; Rodentia; Bathyergidae
Description: lncRNA (ENSHGLG00100038612.1)
Source: RNAcentral